AAGGGCUUGAGAUCAGACUUGGUAUUUUGCGAUCCUUUCCUUCUUGGUUGGGUUCCUCGCAGCUUACUGGGCCAGCAUCGGUUUGGAUGGUAGGAUAAUGACUAAGGAAUGUGGCUCUACUUCGGUGGAGUGUUAUAGCCUUGGUUGAUACUGCCUGUCUAGACCGAGGACUGCGUCUUUUGACUAGGAUGUUGGCAUAAUGAUCUUAAGCCA
Molecule: ribosomal RNA, 213 nt
Filed under: Debaryomyces hansenii
Lineage: Eukaryota; Fungi; Ascomycota; Pichiomycetes; Serinales; Debaryomycetaceae
Description: partial large subunit ribosomal RNA
Source: RNAcentral